UGUUUAUCAAAAACAUAGUUUAAGGAAAUAAUCUUAAAUGUAUUCUGCCCAGUGAUCUAUUUUAAAUGGCCGCAGUACCUUGACUGUGCUAAGGUAGCAUAAUCAAUUGGCUUCUAAUUAAAGUCUGGAAUGAAAGGAAAAAUGGGGUAAUUCUGUCUUAAGGAAUUUUUUUUGAAUUUAUUUAAAUGAUGAAAAUAUCAUUUUUUAGAAAAAAGACGAGAAGACCCUUAGAGUUUUCAAUUUUUUUUUGUUGGGGCGACAAGUAAACAAUUAAACUUUACUAGUGUAAUAAAUCGAUUUUUUAUAAGAAUAAUUAAACUACCUUAGGGAUAACAGCAUUAUAUAUUUUAUGAUUGUGACCUCGAUGUUGGACUAGGAACUUUAUGGCUAGCCGCAAAAAAGAUUUGUUCU
RNAcentral lists this ribosomal RNA (411 nucleotides) under Biomphalaria glabrata. RNAcentral's name for it is "partial 16S ribosomal RNA". It matches the Rfam family "Bacterial large subunit ribosomal RNA", at positions 1801 to 2583 of the family's 2925-position model. Lineage: Eukaryota; Metazoa; Mollusca; Gastropoda; Planorbidae. The record is from RNAcentral.